AUGUCUAGCCUGACGACCAUAAGCAGCACCAGCAAGGAGUCGCUGGAGGCGGAGGAGCUCGUCGACACAAGGUUGUCGCUCGUGAUCGGUGCCGGGAGCCAACCGCCGCCGGCGCCAGUGGCAGCGGGUCAUGUUACAAGGCAGCAUGCCAAGAGGGCCAGGGCUGUGCACGGCGGCAGCGACGUCGACGAUGGCGACGACGGAGGGGACGCAGCCGGCCGCGCGAGGAAGAAGCUCCGGCUCACCGCGGAGCAGGCGGCGCUGCUGGAGAAAAGCUUCCGCUCCCACAACGUCCUCUCCCAUGGUGAGAAGCAGGAUCUUGCGGGGCAGCUUGGGUUGAAGCCGAGGCAGGUGGAGGUGUGGUUCCAGAACAGGAGGGCGCGCACCAAGCUCAAGCAGACGGAGCUCGACUGCGAGCUGCUGCGCCGGUGGUGCGAGCGGCUCAGCGACGACAACGCGCGGCUCCGGCGAGAGCUCGCCGAGACACACGCGGUCCUCCUCGUCGGCGGUGCACAGGGCUCGAGGCUCACGAGGUGUCCGUCCUGCAACAGGCUCGCCGGCGGCCGGAGGGCGGCCUAG
RNAcentral lists this ribosomal RNA (579 nucleotides) under Triticum aestivum (bread wheat). RNAcentral describes it as "partial small subunit ribosomal RNA". Lineage: Eukaryota; Viridiplantae; Streptophyta; Magnoliopsida; Poales; Poaceae. The record is from RNAcentral.